CCGCCGUUGGUGCUAUAUAAACGACCAACGACUCUCAGAAAUUGAGCACUACCACUUGACGGAUGCACCCGCACGGAUCGCCACUGCCGCCACUUCGCGAUCUGCACGAACAACGAGGACGUAUACACGCAACCGUCGUUGCGUAUUAGAGCUUUUAGAGCUCUUUUAGAGCUCGGAAAAUGUGGUCCAUAUACAUUCCAAACACGUCCCAGGAAGUAGACAGCAAAUCUGCGGACAUAGGUACUGGUAUCUUUCGAAAAAAAAAUAUAAUAUACAAUCUAUAUCGAAGACAUAAUGAGUAUAUGUGCGAUAAGAGGGAAACAAAAACACCACGAUAUAAAAUAAUAUUAUUAUCCUAAAUCAUGGUGUCACAUAUUUGUCAUAUAUUUGAGAGAAUAAGAUAGACGUUUCCACACGACAGCAUAUAAAUCGUCAGCGCAUCAUCUGAAGAGAAGGUAUUGGACAUUGGCAUACUGUCUGGACGGUGCACAAUAUUUCUUGCAACCUUUAUAUUAUAAUUAUAUUAUAAUUAACUGUUUUACGUGUUAAAGUUACAAAUCUUAUCGAUUAAAGUAUCUAGUAAAUAGAAAUAGAACUUUUAAAUGAUUAUAAUAGCAAAAUACUAAAAACAAUUUGUACUAAAUAUGAAUGUUGUUAUACUAUAUAGCGUACCUCUACUGUAUUUUAUAACAGAAAAAAAAACAAUAGCUCAUUGUAUGAUUAAUAUUUUUAUUUUUAAAUAGUUAAACAUGAACAUGUUAUAUGCAUCAAUUUCAAGCCCGGAUUGAGAUCAUUUUGGGCCCGGGGCCAAACAAUUUUAGGGGCCCAUAUUCCAUAAACAUAAUCAAAAUAUUGGUGACCCACAAAUAAAUAUAUUUCAGAGAUAACAUUUUUUUUUUACUUUAUAGGUUUAUUAUAUUUCAUUAUUUUCAUUAUUUAAAUACUUUUUUUAUAGAAUGUAAAUGUUUGAACAAUGAACAUAAUAAAUUAUAAAUAUUAUUGUUCAUUAUUCUAGAUAAUAUUCAAAAGUUAACAUCAAAAAUAAUAUUAUUUUGUGUUCAUUUUUAUCAAUAUUAUAUUAUUAUGUACUUUAAAUUUGUGUAUUAAUAAAUGUUGUAACAGACUCCCUACUCAAGCUAUUAUAUAGGUAUCAACUUUAAAUGUUAAUUUAAAUGUACCUAAAUAUUAUUAUGAAGAAGUUAAAAUAAAUUAUUAUAAUUAUUAUUAUUAUUAUUAAAAACAGUUUUAUAGCCAAAUCUAUAAUACCUAGUAAUAAUGAUUCAAACAUCAUUCACCGUAAAUUCGUAAUCGACGGUAUUCGCCACACUCACUACUCAGGUAUUCCCAUAAAUCCCAUUUCCUUACCAAUUAUCUUCCAGCUGAAAAUAGACGACAUUGUCGAAUGUUGAUAUUACGAUAGCAUAGGUAAUAAUAACAUAAUUAUCCAUUAACGAUAUAUUAUAGUAAUAUUAGACUAUAAGAAACUUUAAUAUACAUAUUUUAUUCAAAUAUUUCUAAUUUAAUAAAAAAAAAAACGUACUGUCGGACUAUCAUACUAUCCGCUUGGGGUCUACUAUUGUUUGAUAUCCGUUGUGGCCUGUGGGCCCGGGGCCAUGGCCCCCUCUGCCCCCCCCUUAAUCCGGGAUUGAUCAAUUUACUUUUUGCUAUCAAAAUGCUUACGAUAUUACUUAUGAAUUUAAAAGUUCAACAUUUAAUUGCAUUUUGCAUAGGUCAAGCCCAUAGGUGUAUAAUUAUAUAUUAUAUAUGUAUACAAUAUUCAUAUUAGAUUUUGAGCGGAGCGAUGAAUGUAUUAAUUGUACA
Molecule: long non-coding RNA, 1821 nt
Organism: Metopolophium dirhodum (rose-grain aphid)
Lineage: Eukaryota; Metazoa; Arthropoda; Insecta; Hemiptera; Aphididae
Exons: 4
Source: RefSeq, a predicted model, not a curated record